Non-coding RNA from Paramuricea clavata, 1329 nucleotides. The record is from the annotation of a GenBank genome assembly. Lineage: Eukaryota; Metazoa; Cnidaria; Anthozoa; Malacalcyonacea; Plexauridae.
UUUAAAGAUGUACUAUACAGAGAUACUAUCUAGGUUGUCGGCAAACAUUUAGAACUGUUUUGCAACCUUGCACACUGACAAACUAGCAUACCACAUGGCUGAGAUAAUACUAUAAAGGCUAUCGCUAAGAGUAAGUUCUCAAUUGAGAGCUUUUUAUUGCUAGCUGAGAAUAUGUAGAUGCACUAUGCAAACUUGUUCAUAUUAAUAUUCCAAGCAGUUUUCCGCUUGCAUAAUUGGCAUACAUGGAUGGGUUCCACCAUCGCCUAUAUAUGUCAUCAUGCAAUCCUAUUGGUUCAUAUACUCAGUGGUGGAUCCAGAAAGUUUUUUUUAGGGGGGGGGGGGGUGCUGGGCGAUCAGCCAAGCACAACGAAACCAGUGCUGGUCAGCAGCGUACUGUCAUGAAAAUGCAUCUACCGUCGAUUGCAACUAAGGCCAAAAAAAAUAUGUGGGUUUCCGGUUUCCCGACCCUACCUAACUUUUGGACGUCGAAAUCCCGACCCUAAACUUUUUUAUUGGAUCAUGCUUGUAAGUGUUUCCACUUAGAGGAAAAAGUUUGUGGAAAAUUGAAAUUUGAGGCAAUAUUAGGGAAAUUUAUCUUUGGAUGUGGAAGCACUGACUAAACAAAAUGGCGUCCGCUUAUUCGGAAAAUUAAAAAAAAAAAGUUUAAAAAAAAGUUAAAACCGACCUACCCUACCUAAGUUUUUAUAAGAAGAAACCGGAAACCCACAUUUUUUUUUUGGUCUAAGCACUGAGAAACGUGUCAUGAGAAAGCGCGAUCCAAUUGGCUGUCAAACAGGAUUUGUUUGGACUUCAAACAUCACAUGAUUAUACUGCAAACAUUUACGUUUCCACUGUCAAUAUUCCAAAUUUAGAAACACAUUCAUAUUGGGCGGGGAUUAGCUUGCAAACACUAAAUCCGUGAUUAAGUUCGUCUGAAUUAAAUUCGGCGUAUGAAACAAGCCUUAGUGAAGUUCUAACAUACUGUAAAUUUGUGAAUUUUGCGUUUAUAGUGGACAAAUUCAGUAUUGUUUGCAAUGUUUGUAUUAACUUUGUUACGUUUUCGCGGAAAAAAUAAUUGUAAAACGUCAAAUGUUUCCAGCAAAAUCAUGUAAAGUUUUUGAAGUCCAAACAUGUUAUGUUUCAUGUCCAAUUAGAUCGCGUUUUCUCAUGACGUGUUUUCGCUUAGUUGCAAUCGACGGUAGUAGUUUCUCCGUUACAAUUUACAGAUACGUUGAAUAAAUAUAAUUUAAUAAUUACAUAAAAUUUAAAUCCCAGAUUCUCUUGAUACUGUGAUUGUGUGAAAGAGAAAAUGGAUUUUUUUCACAUUUC